CCCUUAGAUGUUCUGGGCCGCACGCGUGCUACACUGAUGCAUUCAACGAGUCUAAAACCUGGUCUGAUAGGGCUGGGUAACCUUUUGAAAGUGCAUCGUGAUAGGGAUAGACUAUUGCAAUUAUUGGUCUUCAACGAGGAAUUCCUAGUAGACGUAGUUCAUCAGACUGCAUCGAUUACGUCCCUGCCCUUUGUACACACCGCCCGUCGCUCCUACCGAUUGAAUGCUCAGGUGAGCCAUUCGGACUUUCAUCAUGCUGGUUUCCAGUUUUGAUGAAGGAAAGUCUUGCGAACCUUAUCAUUUAGAGGAAGGAGAAGUCGUAACA
Molecule: ribosomal RNA, 325 nt
Filed under: uncultured eukaryote
Lineage: Eukaryota
Description: partial 18S ribosomal RNA
Rfam family: Eukaryotic small subunit ribosomal RNA
Source: RNAcentral